GGGCCCGCACAAGCGGUGGAGCAUGUGGUUUAAUUCGAUGAUACGCGAGGAACCUUACCAGGGCUUAAAUGUAGUGGGACAGGUCUAGAGAUAGACCCUUCUUCGGACUCAUUACAAGGUGCUGCAUGGUUGUCGUCAGCUCGUGCCGUGAGGUGUCAGGUUAAGUCCUAUAACGAGCGCAACCCCUAUCGUUAGUUGCCAGCGAGUAAUGUCGGGAACUCUAACGAAACUGCCAGUGCAAACUGUGAGGAAGGUGGGGAUGACGUCAAAUCAUCACGGCCCUUACGUCCUGGGCUACACACGUGCUACAAUGGCCGGUACAGAGAGCAGCGGUGAAUCCGUUCCCGGGCCUUGUACACACCGCCCGUCACACCAUGGAAGCUGGUCACACCCAAAGUCGUUAUUCUAACCGU
This 413-nucleotide ribosomal RNA is filed under the name uncultured bacterium. Its description in RNAcentral is "bacterial SSU rRNA". It matches the Rfam family "Bacterial small subunit ribosomal RNA", at positions 917 to 1442 of the family's 1533-position model. The record is from RNAcentral.